UACGUAUAUCAACUUCAGUUGAUGUUUUUUUCUUCAGUAUGUGUUUUUUGCCUUUUUAAUUAGAUCUAUAAAGAAAAGAAAGAUUCAAGUCUCAUUUACCUUAAGGUCUGGUAGUUUACAAAAAACAGGGGCAGCCUAAGACUUGUCUCAACUUGUCAACGAUGAAUUGCCAUCAGAAUUUGGUUUAACAUCAGCGACUUUCUUGAUAACUAGAGAAAGUAUGCAUGUACAUCUCAAGAAGGACGAUUAAUCGCAGCUGAUACCCUGCUACAGGAUAUUUAUGGAUUUUACAGACAAUGUUAUGGCUACAAUUAUCUACUGAUUUCCAUUGUUUUACUGCUCGUGAGUUCCUCCACUUUCCUUGUGGCCUACCUCGUGCACAGAUUUAGAACCGUUAUAGAAGCUUAGGAUCUUUAGGAUCUUUAUCAAGGCAUUUCGACCAAUGAAAUCCAGCGACUACAAGACACACGUUUUCAUUGGCUACGCUGAUGAGGAUGUCGGCUUCGUGAGACAUAUUUUAUUAAAGUAUUUGGAAGAAAACCUAAAAGUUUCUACAUUUGUCCAUCAUCGUGACCUGACUCCUGGCUACACUGACCAACAGAUGUUUGAGGCCAUGAGAGACAGUUGGAGAAUUCUUUUACUUAUUACACAAAGUUUCUUGAACAACUACGACCUCUCGGACAUAAUCAUGAAGUAUGCAAGUCAUUGUGUGAGCCCAGCCAAUGAAAAACGUGUUGUCCUAUUGGUCCAACAAACUCAGUUGUACAACAUCCCAGGCUCCUUGUAUGAUGUCCUGGAAGACUCACGAAUCAUUGUCAUCUCUGAUCUGUCUGCUCACCUGAACUACGUACAGAGACAGGAAAUUAAACAAUGUCUUAGAGAUAUACAAUGAAUAUAAUGAUAUCAGCCUUUGAUAAAUUUCUCACACAUAGCCAGUUACUUGAGCAAUGACCAGUAGGUUGUAAAAUUAUAUCUAUAUAUAGAACUCCGUAUUAACUGGUACUAAGGCAUUUCACAACAUACGAAAACUAUUUAAACACAUCUAUGUGAAAAAAAUUGGUUUUAACUCUUUCUCUCCUGAUUGACGAUACCAUCGUUGAUUUGACCCCAUUAAAUUAACUUAAUUUUUGGGUUCAUAAACUUUAAUUGGUGUUAUAUAAUAAGGCAUGCACUUAUCUUUACCAAUUAUAACAUUUUCUGAUUAAAAGAAAAAUUUUACUGAAGAUUAGCCUUAACAGGUCAAUGAAAUAUAAAUGAGAAAAAGGAAUACUUCCUUUUGAUGGGGAAAUAAUCACGGAGAGAUAGAGUUAAGAAGCUAAAAAUUACUUAAUUUACUUGUUUCUUCACUAUUUUAUCUAGUCAACAAACAAUUUUAAAAUCUUAGCAAACUUUUUAUUUUUUCGUUAUUAUAGAAAAUCUUUGCUCUGACGUGUUAUCAUGCUGAAAUUUAUGAGACUAUUAUCACCUUUGAUAUUGCUUGAUGCUAUAUGUUUUAAAGUUUGUUGAAAAUCUUAGAAACAUGAUAUACUUGUAAACUUUAUUAAAAGGGAAUCUAAUUGUAUUCUAUUGAAGUCAUCGAAAGGGAUCAAGGACCCACAAUAAUGUUGCUAAGCUUGUCAUUUUUCUUAAAUUCGGCUUACAUUUUACUGGAGUACUCAAUCCUCUGGAUCCGCCCUUUAGUGCAUAAACAACAUAAAGACAUGUCCUAAUAGAAAGUUCUAAUACGACAAACAAAUAUUUUGAACUAAAAUAAAAAUACCAAUUUCAAAUUUUAGUCCACUAUGUCACUGAAGAUGGGGGGAGGGGGUCUAAUUGUAUAUUAUUGUGGACGCUAAUCUUGAAGGUUACCAAUUUCGUACAUACUGAUGCCUUAGUUAAAAUUAGUAUUUAUAAUGAAAUCAAAUAAGGAUAAUUAAACAAAUAAAUAGUUAUCAACUGAAUACAAUAACAUAUAUUAGCCUUUUUAGAUCCUAAGGUCAAUAACAAUUCUAUAGUGAUCCUCCUUUAUUUAUUAUAUCUAUAUCUGGUCAAAGAAAAUUGAAUCGGUUAACUAUAAAUAUAUAUAUAUAUAUAUAUAUAUAUAUAUAUAUAUAUAUAUAUAUAUUUAAAUAUAUAUAUUUAGAAAACAAAAGGCUAUAUCUAAUGUUAUAAACUAAAAACGACAUUACACAAUCUAUAUAUAUCUAGAUAUAGAAAUGUAGAUCUCGUGAGGUAAUUUGGCGAGAAUAUAAAAAUUGAUAUAUAUAACAACAAAAUAUAUCUCUUAAUGUAGAUUUUUAUGUAAUGAUUACAAAGACACUAAAAUUAUAUUUUUAUGUCCUAUAGGAGAGGUUUUUUUAUGUGUGUCAAAAUUUGACUGAAGAAAAUGUCUUCAAAACUGUGUUCGAAUUUAUGUGUCUUUUAACUAUUCAUCACUUUGUAACUUUGAUAGACAGCAACUUGAAGUCUGGAGCAAUCAUACUUCAAUAUAUGCGUUUUAAAUUCAAUGCUUUGCGUUUCAUGCAAACUCAACUUUUGGUAAAUGAAAAAAAAAAUGCAGAGAAUUAUACGAAAUUGAUUGGAAAAAAUCAACAACAAUAAACUGAAUAGUGUGAUCGAAUAGGAAAA
Molecule: long non-coding RNA, 2607 nt
Organism: Biomphalaria glabrata
Lineage: Eukaryota; Metazoa; Mollusca; Gastropoda; Planorbidae
Exons: 6
Source: RefSeq, a predicted model, not a curated record